GGAAGCAGGGGAUCGUAAGGCCUUGCGCUUUUGGAGCGGCCGAUGUCUGAUUAGCUAGUUGGUGGGGUAAGGGCCUACCAAGGCGACGAUCAGUAGUUGGUCUGAGAGGACGACCAGCCACACUGGGACUGAGACACGGCCCAGACUCCUACGGGAGGCAGCAGUGGGGAAUUUUGGACAAUGGGCGCAAGCCUGAUCCAGCAAUGCCGCGUGAGUGAAGAAGGCCUUCGGGUUGUAAAGCUCUUUCAGUCGAGAAGAAAAGGCUACGGUAAAUAAUCGUAGUUCAUGACGGUACCGACAGAAGAAGCACCGGCUAACUACGUGCCAGCAGCCGCGGUAAUACGUAGGGUGCGAGCGUUAAUCGGAAUUACUGGGCGUAAAGGGUGCGCAGGCGGCUUUGUAAGUCAGAUGUGAAAUCCCCGGGCUUAACCUGGGAAUUGCGUUUGAAACUACAAAGCUAGA
RNAcentral lists this ribosomal RNA (462 nucleotides) under uncultured beta proteobacterium. RNAcentral describes it as "bacterial SSU rRNA". It matches the Rfam family "Bacterial small subunit ribosomal RNA", at positions 187 to 645 of the family's 1533-position model. The record is from RNAcentral. Lineage: Bacteria; Pseudomonadati; Pseudomonadota; Betaproteobacteria.